RNAcentral lists this ribosomal RNA (460 nucleotides) under uncultured bacterium. RNAcentral describes it as "partial 16S ribosomal RNA". It matches the Rfam family "Bacterial small subunit ribosomal RNA", at positions 338 to 795 of the family's 1533-position model. The record is from RNAcentral.
CCUACGGGAGGCAGCAGUGAGGAAUAUUGGUCAAUGGACGAGAGUCUGAACCAGCCAAGUAGCGUGAAGGAUGACUGCCCUAUGGGUUGUAAACUUCUUUUAUAAAGGAAUAAAACGAGGCACGUGUGCCUUUUUGCAUGUACUUUAUGAAUAAGGAUCGGCUAACUCCGUGCCAGCAGCCUCGGUAAUACGGAGGAUCCGAGCGUUAUCCGGAUUUCUUGGGUUUAAAGGGAGCGUAGAUGGGUUGUUAAGUCAGUUGUGAAAGUUUGCGGCUCAACCGUAAAAUUGCAAUUGAUACUGGCAGUCUUGAGUACAGUUGAGGUAGGCGGAAUUCGUGGUGUAGCGGUGAAAUGCUUAGAUAUCACGAAGAACCCCGAUUGCGAAGGCAGCUUACUAAACUGUGACUGACAUUGAUGCUCGAAAGUGUGGGUAUCAAACAGGAUUAGAUACCCUGGUAGUC